GAUGAAGAACGUAGCGAAAUGCGAUAAGUAAUGUGAAUUGCAGAAUUCAGUGAAUCAUCGAAUCUUUGAACGCACCUUGCGCCCUUUGGCUAUUCCGAAGGGCAUGCCUGUUUGAGUAUCAUGAACAUCUCAACUCCUCACGGUUCGCCCGUGACGAGCUUGGACUUUGGGGGUCUUGCCGGCCUGCGGGUCGGCUCCUCUCAAAUGAAUCAGCUUGCCGGUGUUUGGUGGCGUUACAGGUGUGAUAAAUAUCUACGCUUGUGGUUUUCCGCCAGGUAACCUCCAGCGAUGGGGGUUCACUGGAGCUCACGAAUGUCUCUCCUCGGUGAGGACAGCUCUUUGAACGUUUGAUCUCAAAUCAGGUAGGGCUACCCGCUGAACUUAAGCAUAUCAAUAAGCGGAGGA
RNAcentral lists this unclassified non-coding RNA (405 nucleotides) under soil metagenome. Its description in RNAcentral is "partial contains 5.8S ribosomal RNA, internal transcribed spacer 2, and large subunit ribosomal RNA". The stretch from base 1 to 121 matches the Rfam family "5.8S ribosomal RNA", at positions 35 to 154 of the family's 154-position model. The record is from RNAcentral.